Non-coding RNA from Oreochromis aureus, 508 nucleotides. The record is from the annotation of a RefSeq genome assembly. NCBI's taxonomy places the organism in Eukaryota, Metazoa, Chordata, Actinopteri, Cichliformes, Cichlidae.
UUCUCAGUAUAAACAAUAGUGUGGUCCAAUUUCUUCAACUCAUAGCCACUAAAAUCUUAUAUAAAGUUUCUAAACACAUCUAAAGUCAAGCUUUGAAUACAGACAAGAUGAUCUCCCUUUUAAUGUUCUGCUACUUUUCAGGUGCUAGUCUGGGGAUUGAGGUUCGUCAGUCUUCCUCUGAUAUCAUCGCAAAGGCUAGUGACAAAGUUCAGAUUUUCUGCAGUCAUGAUAAAACUGACUACAGAAUGAUGUUCUGGUACAAGCAGUCGCCUGGAGACACGGCUAUGAAACUCAUUGGGUUUUUAAACUAUGCAGCUGUCACAGUUGAAGAACAAUAUAGAGAUCAUUUCAAUAUCACUGGAAAUCUUGGGGGCGAUUCUGCAAAGAAUGGCUCACUAACUAUCCAAGUCAAAGGACAAGAGCACAGUGCAGUGUACUACUGUGCAGCAAGCAAAGCACAAUGACAGAAAGCUCCUCUGAACUUUACAAAAACUCCACAUAAUUUUUA